This 2113-nucleotide ribosomal RNA is filed under the name Clostridioides difficile QCD-66c26. RNAcentral's name for it is "bacterial LSU rRNA". It matches the Rfam family "Bacterial large subunit ribosomal RNA", at positions 776 to 2925 of the family's 2925-position model. Lineage: Bacteria; Bacillati; Bacillota; Clostridia; Peptostreptococcales; Peptostreptococcaceae. The record is from RNAcentral.
CACCCCCGCGUGUAAAAACCUGGGGGUCUUUGGGGGACGGGAAAAUCCUCCUGGGCCCCCGGAAAGGGGGGUUUCCCCCCAAAAAACUUUUGGGGUCGCCUCAAGGUAAGAAUUGGGGGGUAAGCCCCUUAUUUCCUUGGGGGUUUUCCCCUCCCAAAGGUUUUCAACUUCGAAGGCCUUCUUUUUAACUUGGGAUCCGAUUGGGGGUGAUUAGAUUUAUAGUUGAAAGGGCAACCGCCCCAGAUUGUCAGUAAGGUCCCCUAAAGUAAGGUAAGUGGUAAAGGAUGUGGAUGCCACAGACAACCCAGGAUGUGGCUUAGAAGCAGCCAUUCAUUCAAAGAGUGCGUAAUAGCUCACUGGUCGAGUGAUCUGCCGCCGGAGAUUCCGGGGGUUAAAACUUACUACCGAAGCUAGGGCAUCAGUANUGAUGGGUAGGGGAGCUCCCCAUACGGGUUGAAGCAUGACCGUAAGGACAUGUGGACAGUAUGGGAGUGAGAAUGUUGGCAUGAGUAGCGAGAUGUGGUNGAGAAUCCCACAGGCCGUAAACCCAAGGUUUCCAGGGGAAGGUUCGUCCGCCCUGGGUUAGUCGGGACCUAAGCUGAGGCCGAAAGGCGUAGGUGAUGGACAACAGGUUGAUAUUCCUGUACUACCGAUAACCGUNUGAGAGAUGGGAUGACACAGUAGGAUAAGCUAAGCACACUGUUGGUUAUGUGUGCCCAAGCAUUGAGGCAGUCAAAGUAGGUAAAUCCGCUUUGAUAAUGCUGGGAUGUGAUGGGGAGCGAAAUUUAGUAGCGAAGUAGCUGAUUUCACACUGUCAAGAAAAGUCUCUAUCGAGGUUAAAGGUACCCGUACCGCAAACCGACACAGGUGGGUGAGGAGAGUAUCCUAAGGCCAGCGAGAGAACUGUUGUUAAGGAACUCGGCAAAAUGACCCCGUAACUUAGGGAUAAGGGGUGCCACCAUCAGGUGGCCGCAGAGAAUAGGCCCAAGCGACUGUUUACCAAAAACAUAGGUUUCUGCUAAGUCGCAAGACGAUGUAUAGGAGCUGACGCCUGCCCGGUGCUGGAAGGUUAAGGGGAUCUGUUAGAGCAAUCGAAGCAGUGAACUUAAGCCCCAGUAAACGGCGGCCGUAACUAUAACGGUCCUAAGGUAGCGAAAUUCCUUGUCGGGUAAGUUCCGACCCGCACGAAAGGCGUAACGAUUUGGGCACUGUCUCAACAACAGACUCGGUGAAAUUGUAAUUCCGGUGAAGAUGCCGGAUACCUGCGACAGGACGGAAAGACCCCAUGGAGCUUUACUGUAGCUUGACAUUGGGUCUUGGUACUACAUGUACAGGAUAGGUGGGAGGCUUUGAAACCAGGACGCCAGUUUUGGCGGAGCCAUCCUUGGGAUACCACCCUUGUAGUACUGGGACUCUAACCAUAGGCCAUGAAUCUGGUCUUGGGACACUGUCAGGUGGGCAGUUUGACUGGGGCGGUCGCCUCCCAAAAGGUAACGGAGGCGCUCAAAGGUUCUCUCAGUACGGUCGGAAAUCGUACGUAGAGUGUAAAGGCAAAAGAGAGCUUGAUUGCAAGACAUACAGGUCGAGCAAGGAUGAAAAUCGGACUUAGUGAUCCGGUGGUUCUGCGUGGAAGGGCCAUCGCUCAACGGAUAAAAGCUACCCUGGGGAUAACAGGCUUAUCUCCCCCAAGAGUCCACAUCGACGGGGAGGUUUGGCACCUCGAUGUCGGCUCAUCACAUCCUGGGGCUGUAGUAGGUCCCAAGGGUUGGGCUGUUCGCCCAUUAAAGUGGUACGCGAGCUGGGUUCAGAACGUCGUGAGACAGUUCGGUCCCUAUCCGUCGCAGGCGUAGGAAAUUUGAGAAGACCUGUCCUUAGUACGAGAGGACCGGGAUGGACGUACCUCUGGUGUACCAGUUGUUCUGCCAAGGGCAUGGCUGGGUAGCUAUGUACGGAAUGGAUAAGCGCUGAAAGCAUCUAAGCGCGAAGCCAACUUCAAGAUAAGAUUUCCCACCGCAAGGGUAAGACCCCAGAAAGACUAUCUGGUUGAUAGGUCGAAGGUGUAAGUGCAGCAAUGUAUUUAGCUUAUCGAUACUAAUAGGUCGAGGACUUGACC